This is a non-coding RNA of Styela clava, 671 nucleotides long. The record is from RefSeq and is a predicted model, not a curated record. NCBI's taxonomy places the organism in Eukaryota, Metazoa, Chordata, Ascidiacea, Stolidobranchia, Styelidae.
GACGGAAAUCAAUCAUGAUUCCAUGGCUGAGGUGUCUAUUCCAGAUUGUGAAGAUCCGGGUUGCUAUGCACGACAGCCGAUUUAUAGUAUUACUAGAGAGCAAAUACACGAGGUCAUGAUGAAUUCAGUCAAUUGCAAGCAAUAUAUCAAGUUGCAAUGCCAAGGAGUAUUGAUGAGUUGGCAAGGUGACCCGAGAUCUUGGUGGGUAUCACGCGACGGAGUACAAAUGGGAUACUGGGGAGGAGCGACGUCUAGAAGAAAGGGAUACUGUGCUUGUGGAGAAACAAAUACAUGCAUCGAUAAGUCGAAGAAAUGCAACUGUGAUAACAACUCUAACAAUCUUGUGACGCAGGAUGAAGGUUAUAUUACGGAUAAAGCAUCACUUCCCGUGAAAGAAAUUAGAGUGGGUGAUAUGGGGGAUAUCAAAGAACUCGCUUGGCAUACCCUUGGACCUUUGGUGUGCACUGGCCAAGUUUAAAUGUCUACACGUUUAGAAGAGCAAAAGAAAACUUUCGAUGAUAUUUUGGUGUCCCACACACAAUCAGUUCAGCAGACCAAUGCCGACGGAUAAAGUUAUAACUAUAUUGGUUGAAAAAACCAACAAAAUACGAUUUAAUUUUUUUUUCACAAAUACGUUGUUGGACUUUAGCAAAUAUAUAUAUAUAUAUAUA